Molecule: ribosomal RNA, 230 nt
Filed under: uncultured bacterium
Lineage: Bacteria
Description: partial 16S ribosomal RNA
Rfam family: Bacterial small subunit ribosomal RNA
Source: RNAcentral
AGCGUGCGCAGGCGGUUAUAUAAGACAGAUGUGAAAUCCCCGGGCUCAACCUGGGAACUGCAUUUGUGACUGUAUAGCUGGAGUGCGGCAGAGGGGGAUGGAAUUCCGCGUGUAGCAGUGAAAUGCGUAGAUAUGCGGAGGAACACCGAUGGCGAAGGCAAUCCCCUGGGCCUGCACUGACGCUCAUGCACGAAAGCGUGGGGAGUUCAAACAGGAUUAGAUACCCCUGU